RNAcentral lists this ribosomal RNA (506 nucleotides) under uncultured bacterium. RNAcentral's name for it is "partial 16S ribosomal RNA". It matches the Rfam family "Bacterial small subunit ribosomal RNA", at positions 28 to 523 of the family's 1533-position model. The record is from RNAcentral.
GAUGAACGCUAGCGGCAGGCCUAACACAUGCAAGUCGAGGGGCAGCACAUAAAGUGGUUUACUACUUUUGGUGGCGACCGGCGGACGGGUGCGUAACGCGUAUGCAACCUGCCUCCAACAGGGGGAUAACGGAGAGAAAUUUCCACUAAUACCCCAUAAUAUCAGAAUCGGGAUCGGUUUUGGUUGAAAACUCCGGUGGUCGGAGAUGGGCAUGCGUUGUAUUAGAUAGUUGGUGAGGUAACGGCUCACCAAGUCAACGAUACAUAGGGGGACUGGGAGGUUAGCCCCCCACACUGGUACUGAGACACGGACCAGACUCCUACGGGAGGCAGCAGUGAGGAAUAUUGGUCAAUGGGGGCAACCCUGAACCAGCCAUGCCGCGUGCAGGAAGACGGCUCUAUGAGUUGUGAACUGCUUUUACAAGGGGAUAAAUCGGUGUACGUGUACACCGUUGAAGGUACCUUGGGAAUAAGGAUCGGCUAACUCCGUGCCAGCAGCCGCAGUAA